GACGAACGCUGGCGGCGUGCUUAACACAUGCAAGUCGAACGGAAAGGCCUGCUUUCCCUUGUGGAUUGCGGGUACUCGAGUGGCGAACGGGUGAGUAACACGUGAGUGAUCUGCCCCCAACUUGGGUAUAAGCCUGGGAAACUGGGUCUAAUUCCCGAUAGGACUGCAGGGUGGUGCCUGUGGUGGAAAACGAUUUUCUAGUGGUUGGGGAUGAGCUCGCGGCCUAUCAGCUUGUUGGUGGGGUAAUGGCCUACCAAGGCGGCGACGGGUAGCCGGCCUGGGAGGGUGGACGGCCCCAUUGGGACUGAGAUACGGCCCAGACUCCUACGGGAGGCAGCAGUGGGGAAUAUUGCACCAUGGGCGGAAGCCUGAUGCAGCGACGCCGCGUGGGGGAUGACGGCCUUCGGGUUGUAAACUCCUUUCGACCGCGAGGAAGCCACCUGGUUGGAAGGGUGGUGACGGUAGUGGUAGAAGAAGCACCGGCUAACUACGUG
RNAcentral lists this ribosomal RNA (494 nucleotides) under uncultured bacterium. RNAcentral's name for it is "partial 16S ribosomal RNA". It matches the Rfam family "Bacterial small subunit ribosomal RNA", at positions 28 to 507 of the family's 1533-position model. The record is from RNAcentral.